This 1203-nucleotide long non-coding RNA is filed under the name Octopus vulgaris (common octopus). The record is from RNAcentral. Lineage: Eukaryota; Metazoa; Mollusca; Cephalopoda; Octopoda; Octopodidae.
CGAGCAGAUACUCGCAGCUGUUACCACGUCCCGAUUUCACUAAAACAGAUUCUCUCACUCACACACACUGUGUGAGUGUGUGUGUCUCUCUCUUACUCACACUCUCUUUCUGUCUCCUUCUCUCUCUCUUACUCACACUCUCUUUCUGUCUCCUUCUCUGUCUCUUACUCACACUCUCUUUCUGUCUCCUUCUCUCUCUCUCACUCUGUAUCUUUCACUCAUUCUUUCUGCCCCUUCUAUCUAUUCACUCACUCUCUCUGCAUUUUAGCUUGCUUAUGUCUGCCACUAAGCGCACCCGACCGCCGGUUCCUCGCCACUCGAGCAAAAACUAAAUAUACAUAGAUAUAUAAAAAUAUAUAGAUUAAUAGAUAUAUACACUCCCUCUCUCUCUGUCGAGAUAUAUACAUCAAAUAGAGAGAUAGAGAAAUAGAGAGAGAGAAAAAGAGAGAGACACCGCUGUUGCAUUUGCCCUCCUCACACACAUUCCUGUUUUCUCUCACUCCACCUCCCUCUCUCUAAUCCUUCUGUCUAUCCCUCAUCCUCACCCUCUCUCUCAUUCGCAUGCUCUCUUUCCUCACUCAUGCUUAUUACGUGACCAUCGAACGACUUCCCUCACGCCGUCGUCAUCGUUGUUGUUAUUGUCGUUCAAGUCUUCCUGCUUUUUUCCUUCCUUUAUUACUAUUUCAAACUACUACUAAUACUACUACUAUUACUACCACCACUAUCUACAACAUUAUUAUUGUUAUUAUCAUUGCUAUUAUUCUCAGCGAGUCAGUGCCCGUCGUCUAUAUAAAACAGUAUUGCUAAACACUUACAUAUGAGAAUAUAUACACAUACAUGUAUAUAUACACAAACACACAAUCAGACAUAUACACACACAAAUAUACAUGCGUUUUACAAACUCACAUUGACUGACAGUCUUGACGUAUAAAGCAGUGAAUAUUGAAAGCGUGAUACAUAGAGAUAUAUAUACACAUACCAGGGAGAGAAAAUACAUACACAGACACACACAUACAAACGCACAUACAUACACACACACACACAUACCCAAUUAUACAUACAUACAUACAUACAUACACAACCAAUUAACGUUGUUGUCACUUGGAUGUUGACGUAGAAAAAAAAAAACUGUCUUUUACCCUCUUUUGGAUUACAAAACAUUCGGUAAGUUACUUAACUUUAUAACCCCCUUUUCUUGUCCUG